GAAGGUAUAGCUCAGUGGUAGAGCACAUGCUUAGCAUGCACGAGGUCCUGGGUACAAUCCCCAGUACCUCCA
RNAcentral lists this transfer RNA (72 nucleotides) under Camelus bactrianus (Bactrian camel). It matches the Rfam family "tRNA". From Rfam's summary of the family: Transfer RNA (tRNA) molecules are approximately 80 nucleotides in length. Lineage: Eukaryota; Metazoa; Chordata; Mammalia; Artiodactyla; Camelidae. The record is from Rfam by way of RNAcentral. RNAcentral also lists the same sequence under 2 other names.